This is a long non-coding RNA of Aethalodelphis obliquidens (Pacific white-sided dolphin), 275 nucleotides long. RefSeq lists it as uncharacterized. The record is from RefSeq and is a predicted model, not a curated record. NCBI's taxonomy places the organism in Eukaryota, Metazoa, Chordata, Mammalia, Artiodactyla, Delphinidae. The transcript has 3 exons.
UCAUAAAAAUCGUAGUAAUUAAUCAUAAUGGGCUACCCAUUCUUGACUUUUAACAUCUUUUGGCUUGUUUAGUCUUCACACCGCCCUUUCCUGAAAGAUCAGAAAACUGAAUCACUGAGCAGUGAACUUGAACUGUGGCUGUGGCCUGGACUCGGCAUUCAAACACAACACACUGACCUCUGGUUGUAGAGAUGUCUUGAAGAUGCUGAAGAAUAAACACAGAAUUCACGGAAUGGAAGAAACUGUUUCACCAUAUACAAUGAUUUGGGGUACCA